UACAUGUGGGGCAAGCGUUGUUCGGAAUUACUGGGCAUAAAGGGUGCGUAGGCGGCUUGUUAAGUCAGGGGUGAAAGUUUUCGGCCCAACCGGAAAAUUGCCUUUGAUACUGGCGAGCUGGAGUGCGUGAGGGGUGACCGGAACGAGUGGUGUAGCGGUGAAAUGCGUAGAUAUCACUCGGAAGGCCAACGGCGAAGGCAGGUCACUGGUGCGCAACUGACGCUGAGACACGAAAGCGUGGGGAGCAAACAGG
RNAcentral lists this ribosomal RNA (253 nucleotides) under uncultured bacterium. RNAcentral describes it as "partial 16S ribosomal RNA". It matches the Rfam family "Bacterial small subunit ribosomal RNA", at positions 524 to 776 of the family's 1533-position model. The record is from RNAcentral.